CAUCUCCCCCUAGUCCUCCUCUGCUCCCCGCCCUUGGAGGAGAAGGAGCCGGUGGUGAGCUCCAGCGCCCGAGUUUGGAGCGGGUGUGACUCUCCCCGCUCUAGGCGAAUCUCUCCCCUCUUGACUGCAGCGGAGACUUGAACGCCACGCUUGGUCCAGGGACAACUAAUAACAAUCCCCGACAAAUUCAAAAGAGGUUUUUUGUUUUUGUUUUUUGGGUUUGUUUGUUUGUUUGUUUGUUUUUAGACACAGAAAAACACAUACACACGCACACACGCACACACACACACACACACCGCUAUACAAACUUCUUGAGUGAAGAGCAAUACACAAACUCUCCCUCCUCUAACUCAGCCCAGCCUCCCCCCUUAACCCACCUCUUCCCCAUCUCAAAAAUCCCACCACCACCACCCAGCAGAGACUGUCAGAACAUUUGAAAACAAAUGGGACCUAUAAAAACAGACCCUUUGUGUGGAUUAUAUGAUAUAUAAAAUACUCCAAGUCCUGCUUGAUGAUAUCUAUUUACAAUGAGACUUUUUAAAAAGGAAGCAUCAAAAAAGGCUUAAGAUGCUCUCUGUUUUGCGAGUUUCACCUUCAGUACCAGGAGCUCGGCUAAGUUUUCGCUCAUCCCUGCCACCACCCAGCCCCAAUCCAAACAGGUUUGGAGCAAGGCUUCGGGGGUUGAGGGCCCAGCUCCGGAGUUGACUUCUCCAGCCCCGCCAGAGCUCGCUGUCUAAGUUUCUGAUCCACUAGGAGUUUAUUUUAUUUUAUUUUAUUUUUUGCCGUUGUCAUUGUUCUUUUCCCCUCUGUGGCUUCCUACCUGAUGAGUGGGAGGUGGGGGUGGGGAUGAGAGUAUUGAGAAUUACGGUAUUUUCUUUAAAAAAUUACUAUUUUGAGAUCAGAUUCGUGCACCUGAAUGCAUGUGUGGACUUUUCGUUAAAUCGUUAAAAGUCAUGUAAAAAUGAUUUUCUUCUAUUCAGAUGAAAACUUUAUUUAUUUUAACUCUAAUCUUAUUUGCAUCUAUUAUCUGUAUUCACCAAGGCUCUCUUCCACUACAAAAAUGCAGAUGAAGUAAAUCUUACAUAAAUCCCGCCCAUUUGUGUAAUUGGUAUACUAAGUGUUUAUUUUAAGUGAGAAUAAUUUAGCUACAAAUUUUCUUAAGGAAUAACAUUCUUAACACAUUAAAAAAACUGAAAAC
Antechinus flavipes (yellow-footed antechinus) is the source of this 1198-nucleotide long non-coding RNA. RefSeq lists it as uncharacterized. NCBI's taxonomy places the organism in Eukaryota, Metazoa, Chordata, Mammalia, Dasyuromorphia, Dasyuridae. The transcript has 2 exons. The record is from RefSeq and is a predicted model, not a curated record.